Molecule: transfer RNA, 86 nt
Filed under: Variovorax paradoxus EPS
Lineage: Bacteria; Pseudomonadati; Pseudomonadota; Betaproteobacteria; Burkholderiales; Comamonadaceae
Description: tRNA-Leu (CAA) (tRNA-Leu-CAA-2-1)
Rfam family: tRNA
About the family: Transfer RNA (tRNA) molecules are approximately 80 nucleotides in length. Their secondary structure includes four short double-helical elements and three loops (D, anti-codon, and T loops).
Source: RNAcentral
GCCCGGGUGGUGAAAUUGGUAGACGCAGGGGACUCAAAAAUCCCCCACCGAAAGGUGCGCCGGUUCGAUUCCGGCCCCGGGCACCA